CACCACCACCUCCACCGAUAUAUCAAUCUCUCGGCUGGCGGCGAAAAGUAAUCCUUUUGGCAAGACGAGGGUCCAACUUCUUGCCGUAACUAAUGAUACUUUUUAGUGAAGGAUGGCGCGACAAUGAUACCGACUCCUGACUCCUUUCUUCCAUUACGCAACGUCCCGCUUCCAUACAUUCACUUCCAGGGGGUCGAUUGAGUGGUGCCCCCCUUCCUGUUCAGUCACCCAGUAUUUUUAUCGCACCAAAAGUAUGUUUGUUUCAGUGGUCCAGCAGUCCAAAAGCSCCUYAACACUCUUCUUCUCCUCCUCCUGCUCAAUUACUCAGUGCACCGCCAAGAGGCUGAGKACCUUCAUACKUCUCRGGAACAUUUCUCAGGUGAGUGCAAACGCUUCUCUUCUCUUCCGCUCCGAGCCUCCCUGAACAAUCGGUGAGGGUUCGGACGUGAGGGCAGCAGUUUGGGGUACUGGAAGGGUUUUUUCACUUGCCUCGAGACACAAUGGAAAAAACCCUUUUAGCUGCGUCCCUAAUUAGUAAACCCUUAUUUCCUAACCCUCAUUUUGAUGCUACACCGAGGACGUUGCUUAGAGUUGAUUUCAGCACUCCUCGUCUCGGUAGCAUCGAGUUAGUUGAGGGAGUUGAGGAGUUGGACUUCGCAUUGGGAGGGGAGCCUCGGAGGUCUCUCGGACUCUUCGACUCUCCGGAGGAGUUGAGGUGGAGGUCGGUUCCGCAGGGGAGACUUUUCGACUCUCCGUAAAGAGGAGUUGAGGAGUUUGAAAGAGGAGUUGAGGAGUUUGACUUCGCCUUGUCAGGGGAGCCUCUUCGAGUCUCGCGGUAGCGUCAAUUCAGCCCCAGAUGGACCAUCCGCCCAAUUUUUCAGACCUGUGAUUUUGUGCUAAAUAUCGGUCAACGUAUAUACGUUGAAACGUUUUUUGUCGUUUAUUGAAAUAAAACUCAUUUGCUUAAAA
Dendroctonus ponderosae (mountain pine beetle) is the source of this 969-nucleotide long non-coding RNA. RefSeq lists it as uncharacterized. The record is from RefSeq and is a predicted model, not a curated record. Lineage: Eukaryota; Metazoa; Arthropoda; Insecta; Coleoptera; Curculionidae. The transcript has 2 exons.